Long non-coding RNA from Chinchilla lanigera (long-tailed chinchilla), 1265 nucleotides. RefSeq lists it as uncharacterized. The record is from RefSeq and is a predicted model, not a curated record. NCBI's taxonomy places the organism in Eukaryota, Metazoa, Chordata, Mammalia, Rodentia, Chinchillidae. The transcript has 2 exons.
CCACUGUCACAGUUUUGUAAUGGUAGUGGACUUCGACACUGACGGCAGUUGUGAAUGCAACUUUGUGUAUUAAUUUUUUUGGUGGUGUUGAAAGGGGUGGAACCCAGGGUCUCUCACUCACAAGUGCUCUCCCACUGAGCCACUCGCAGCCCCUGUGCAACUGAGGUUUGCGUAGCAGCACAAGCUGUGGGUUGCUUUUCACAAUUUGCGCCCCUCACCUCCAGAUGGGAGCUUUGCUCUGAAACUCAGCAGUGCGUCAGACGCAGCUCUUUCCUCCUGGGGACAACUACGUCCUGGGCCAGGGCUAUCCCAAGUGUGCCUUUCUUUCUGUGGUUCUCGCCCUUAAUUGAACUGAGGCUUCUUCUCUACACGGUGGUCCGUCCUCCAGACAGGAAGAGGAGACCCAGAGGAGGUAGGAGUAGGAUACAGUUGUUGGUAGGUGCUGAAAAGUCCCUGGUCCACCCUGUUUCCUGCUGGGACAAAAUAAAGAGAGGUAAUUUUAAUACCCAGACUUACUUGGCAAAAGCUCAGGUGUGGAAUAGCACCCAGUCCAAAGGUCACCUGAGCUGGAAAGACCCAGGUCAUCCUGCCCAGAAGGCAUUAUCGGGUCCUGCACAUUCCAGGAUGGUGUAGGGGACAUGGCCGAAUGGUACCAAGCCCCUGAGGGGGUUGAGAGUGGCAGCAAAAUGCCAAGAUGACCAUGGCCCCAGGAGAGGACAGAGUGUGUGCACCUCAAGGCUGGAAGCAAUGGCAGUGACCAUGGAAAGCAGCGAUGGAUAUUAACUCGCACUUGUAAUAACCGCACCUCAGUAACUGCAUGCGUGUGACCCAGAGGGGACCAGGCGAAGGCUGCUCUCCUCCCUGCUGCAGGAUAGUUAAGGCUUCCUGGGGCAACUGGGUCAUCCUCAGGAAAAGGGAACAGAUGAAGAGAAGAACUGUGAAGCUGAAUGAACACUCAUUCACUUGAUGCUGCAGGACCCUGAGCUGUUUUCCAGCGGCAAGACUGAGGUAGCUUCCUCCCGGCAGCAGCAAGCAGACUGAAGCUGAGUUCCAUGAGGAAAGGUGUGACACUGGUGGAUCAGAUGCUGAUUGUUGGAAUUUGGCAUUGAAGGGCCUUGACCACAUCAUCCAGGAAAACUCAGUUUGGUUUCCAUAGCCUUGGACUGCUGCGGCUCGUACUGACCAGCCGCUUCAUCUUGCUUGUCUAGCUAUCUGUAAGGACGUGCGUUUCUCACAUCACAAAGAAUAAAAAAACAUUGCUUUCA